RNAcentral lists this long non-coding RNA (1453 nucleotides) under Felis catus (domestic cat). RNAcentral describes it as "lncRNA (ENSFCAG00000049265.1)". Lineage: Eukaryota; Metazoa; Chordata; Mammalia; Carnivora; Felidae. The record is from RNAcentral.
AUGGAGCCGAACGCAUCGAGCAACGCGUGCGUUACCGGGCUGGGGCUCCAGUCAGGGCUACACUCCGGACGGCACGCCGGCCACUUCUCGGCGCCGGUGGCCGCGCUGCUGGCGGCGCUCAGGGCGCUGCUGGCGCUGGCCACGGUGCUGGGCAACUCACUGAUCGUGGUGGUCUUUGCCGUGGACCGCAGCCUGCGCUCCAGCGACAACUUCCUCCUCAAUUUGGCUGUCGCCGACCUCCUGGUGGGUGACUUACAGAGCUCAGAAGGGCAUGACCAGGAAUAUUGUUUUCGAGUUGGUGGGUGGUGGCAUUCCUCGUCUAUGGACCUGCCAUCAUCGGUUGGGCAUAUGUGGCCAAAAGGAGCAUCCUGCCUCAGGGGGAGUGCUAUGCUGAGUUCUUCUACAACUGAUGACGACCUCCAUCAUCGAAUUCUUCAUUCCCUUUAUCAGCGUCACUUACUUCAACUUGAGCAUCUACAUCAACAUUCAGAAGCGCACCUCCCUGAGGAGGAACAACAUUGCCCAGAGCCAAGACAACUCGGAGAUGAACUUCCAGGGGAGAAAAAACACAUUAUACUUUUUGUUAAACUAGUUGAGACGAGGAGCAGGAAGAAGAGAGACCAGGUACUCUCCCCCAGACACAAGGGUCUUUCCUUGGAUGUCCCUGGGACUCAAGAUUUACCACCUCUGCAGGUAGACAUCCAAGCCAAAGCAGCACACUGGCAACAGAACAACUACAGGGCCAGCAAGUGUCUGCAUUGCCCAGAGACAGCCAGACCUCGCCAGCUCACUGGCCAGCCGCCUGCAGCUCUUCCAGAUUAAGCAAGUGGCCAGGUGGCUAGCCAUCAUCAUGUGUGUUUGGCCUGUGCUGGACACCCUACACAUUGCUCAUGAUCAUCCGAGCUGCCUGCCAUGGGAUAUGCAUCCAGCACUCCCUCCACGAGAUGUCUUUCUGGCUCCUCUGGCUGAAUUCGGCUAUCAACCCUGUUCUGUACCCUUUAUGCCACAUGAGUUUCAGAAGAGUUUCAUCAAACUGCUAUGCCCUGGAAAAGCCAAGAUCCACCCUCAUAUGUACAUAGGACAGAAAUGCCUCCUGGAGCAGAUUGCCUAAACCCCUUAUACUGUCCAAAGGAAAGAUGUUUACAAACACUUCCCUAGGCCACUGCCACACAUUUCUCCUUAGUCUUUACCACAAGGAAAUGUAAGAACCAUCUUACAUUAUAAGAAACAAGUGAAACAAUUUACUGCAAGUACUAUUAAAAAUGUGUCUAUGGAAUUGUUAUCUAGGGCUUCUUACUCAAAAGUAUGGUCCCUGGACCAACAGCAUUAUAUGGGGGCAUAUUAGAAACAUGGAAUCUUUGGCCCUACCACAGACCUGCUGAAUUCCAGAAUCUGCAUUUUAACAAGAUCCCAGGUGAUUUGUAUGUUUAAUAAAGCUUGAGAAUCUGGUCCA